This 801-nucleotide ribosomal RNA is filed under the name uncultured Alphaproteobacteria bacterium. RNAcentral's name for it is "bacterial SSU rRNA". It matches the Rfam family "Bacterial small subunit ribosomal RNA", at positions 73 to 910 of the family's 1533-position model. The record is from RNAcentral. Lineage: Bacteria; Pseudomonadati; Pseudomonadota; Alphaproteobacteria.
UGGUAGCUUGCUACCAGACUGAGUGGCAGACGGGUGAGUAACACGUGGGUAUCUACCUAUUGGUGGGGAAUAACUCUUGGAAACGAGAGCUAAUACCGCAUAAGCCCUGAGGGGGAAAGAUUUAUCGCCAAUAGAAGAGCCCGCGUUACAUUAGCUAGUUGGUAGGGUAAUGGCCUACCGGGGCAACGAUCUAUAGCUGGUCUGAGAGGAUGAUCAGCCACACUGGGACUGAGACACGGCCCACACUCCUACGGGAGGCAGCAGUGGGGAAUAUUGGACAAUGGGGGCAACCCUGAUCCAGCGAUGCCGCGUGAGUGAAGAAGGCCUUAGGGUUGUAAAGCUCUUUCGGUGGGGAAGAUGAUGACGGUACCCACAAAAGAAGUACCGGCUAACUCUGUGCCAGCAGCCGCGGUAAUACAGAGGGUACAAGCGUUGUUCGGAAUUAUUGGGCGUAAAGCGCGCGUAGGCGGUCUAGAUAGUCAGAUGUGAAAGCCCUGGGCUCAACCCAGGAAUUGCGUUUGAUACUGUUAGGCUAGAGACUUAGAGAGGUGAGUGGAAUUCCUAGUGUAGAGGUGAAAUUCGUAGAUAUUAGGAGGAACACCAGUGGCGAAAGCGACUCACUGGCUAAGCACUGACGCUAAGGCGCGAAAGCGUGGGGAGCAAACAGGAUUAGAUACCCUGGUAGUCCACGCCAUAAACGAUGAAUGCUAGAUGUCGGGUCUUUCGGGGCUCGGUGUCGUCGCUAACGCAUUAAGCAUUCCGCCUGAGGAAUACGGUCGCAAGACUAAAACUUAAAGGAAU